UGAGACCUCAGGUCAGACGGGAUUACCCGCUGAGUUUAAGCAUAUCAAUAAGCGGAGGAAAAGAAACUAACAAGGAUUCCCCUAGUAACGGCGAGCGAACCGG
This 103-nucleotide ribosomal RNA is filed under the name Canavalia rosea. RNAcentral's name for it is "partial 26S ribosomal RNA". It matches the Rfam family "Eukaryotic large subunit ribosomal RNA", at positions 1 to 101 of the family's 3401-position model. Lineage: Eukaryota; Viridiplantae; Streptophyta; Magnoliopsida; Fabales; Fabaceae. The record is from RNAcentral.